Molecule: ribosomal RNA, 478 nt
Filed under: uncultured bacterium
Lineage: Bacteria
Description: partial 16S ribosomal RNA
Rfam family: Bacterial small subunit ribosomal RNA
Source: RNAcentral
GACGAACGCUGGCGGCGUGCUUAACACAUGCAAGUCGAACGGUAAGGCCCUUCGGGGUACACGAGUGGCGAACGGGUGAGUAACACGUGGGUGAUCUGCCCUGCACUUCGGGAUAAGCCUGGGAAACUGGGUCUAAUACCGGAUAGGACUCCUGGCUUCAUGGUUGGGGGUGGAAAGCUUUUGCGGUGUGGGAUGGGCCCGCGGCCUAUCAGCUUGUUGGUGGGGUAAUGGCCUACCAAGGCGACGACGGGUAGCCGGCCUGAGAGGGUGACCGGUCACACUGGGACUGAGAUACGGCCCAGACUCCUACGGGAGGCAGCAGUGGGGAAUAUUGCACAAUGGGCGCAAGCCUGAUGCAGCGACGCCGCGUGAGGGACGACGGCCUUCGGGUUGUAAACCUCUUUCAGCUAUGACGAAGCGCAAGUGACGGUAGUAGCAGAAGAAGGACCGGCCAACUACGUGCCAGCAGCCGCUGUAA